Molecule: RNA transcript, 1518 nt
Organism: Rosa rugosa (rugosa rose)
Lineage: Eukaryota; Viridiplantae; Streptophyta; Magnoliopsida; Rosales; Rosaceae
Gene name: DEAD-box ATP-dependent RNA helicase 16-like
Exons: 7
Source: RefSeq, a predicted model, not a curated record
UCCUCAUUCCUCUCCAGCUAUCUUUCCACGGCCACCACCCCCUCCCUCUACUGUCUCUUUCUCAUUAAUGGCCUCCUCCUUCUCGCCGCUCUCUCUCUCUCUCUCACUCUCACUAACUCUCUCUAAAACCGCCUGUCUCUCUCUGGAAUUGACGAAGAUGAAGUCUAUGCAGCCGCACCACAAUUUCUUACAGGAGACGAUGAAGCCAAGCCUCCCCAGUCGCCAAACCCCAGCUCCGGCAAGCCUCCAAGGAGAAUGCGCUUCUCACUGAGAAAUCCUCCCGUCAGUCUCUGAUCCCUAGCUUCCUCUACGCCUCCUCCUCCGCCAAAACUUUUUGGCUUAAGAAGAUGUUUCACGCCAGCCCUAGCGCCGGCUUCAACACGAAUGGAGAGGCAGUCUCGCAGACCAAGGGGUUGGUCAUUCCGUCUCCGAGCGAGCCGUCCAAGAAGAUCGAGAUGUACUCGCCGGCCUUUUAUGCUGCUUGUACUGCAGGAGGAAUCCACAGCUGUGUCUUACUCACAUGGCUGUACUUAUCUUGACCUCGUCAAGUGCAAUAUGCAGGGACACUCGUGCUUCAGCGUUGGAGCAAAGUUUGAGGAAACUAGCUGUGGAAAGUAAUUUUACACCAUUAUUACUACUUUGACUCAACGUGACCCCAAACAGUGAAUUCACUGGAGUUAGUAGGAACAAGUAAACUUAGUAAGAAAACGUAUUUGUUGAGGAACUUGAUUGCACUUUUAUACCAUGGAGGGGUGCCAAAAAAAUACUUCAUUGAGUUACUUAUGAAAGCUUUAGAAGAGACUCGUGAUGUUUUUAGCAAUACAAGCGCAGCAUUCAGAGUUGCCCUUAGAAAUGGCGAGAUCGAUGACAAUAGUACUGUUGCAAAAAUGAUCUCCUGUGGUAUUCCUCUUGAAGAACCAUAUGUGCAAUAUCGUCUUUCAACCCUUAUGAACAUGGACAAGAUCAAUCUUAAAAAAGGGAAAACUUGACGGGGACAGGUGAUCCAAUAGGAAAACUUGAAAAAGAUGAAGUUUGCAUUAUCCUGCAUAGGCAGUGGGCUGAUGCUAAAAAAGAAUUGUAAGAAGAGAAAAUAAUGCCCUCACUUGUACUUGACCGCGAUCAGACCAUAAAAAAUGCCAUCAAACAGGUUGAAGAAAUGAGAAAAGAUUUGUCUAAUGCACUUCAUGCUACUGAAACUGUUGAGAGUAGAACUGCUGUAGCUGAGGUUGUUGAAAUUGACGGUGGGAGUGGAUCUGCUUCUUUGACAGAUCUGUUGAAACAUGACAAGGUUCUGAGCAAGAAGCCCCCUGCUCCUCACCGAGUUGUGCCUGAUUAUCUGUUGAAUGCAACAACUAAAGAAGCCAGCAAGAGAGUUAAGCUUGCCAACCUUGGUCGCCGUGGAUUCAAGAAAAAAUUCAAGGAAGAUAAGGACCCCCUUAAGUCUUUCAGUGCUCAGGUUUACUUUAGCUUCCUUUUUGCACUUAUUUCUUCAUGAUUAUACUUCAUUCAGUAGGCAGA